RNAcentral lists this ribosomal RNA (253 nucleotides) under uncultured bacterium. RNAcentral's name for it is "partial 16S ribosomal RNA". It matches the Rfam family "Bacterial small subunit ribosomal RNA", at positions 524 to 776 of the family's 1533-position model. The record is from RNAcentral.
UACGAAGGGGGCUAGCGUUGCUCGGAAUCACUGGGCGUAAAGGGUGCGUAGGCGGGUCUUUAAGUCAGAGGUGAAAUCCUGGAGCUCAACUCCAGAACUGCCUUUGAUACUGAGGAUCUUGAGUUCGGGAGAGGUGAGUGGAACUGCGAGUGUAGAGGUGAAAUUCGUAGAUAUUCGGAAGAACACCGGUGGCGAAGGCGGCUAUCUGGCCCGUAAUUGACGCUGAGGCGCGAAAGCGUGGGGAGCAAACAGG